GUUCUGCUGGGUCUGAAAGACCAAGUCAGGGCCUGUCCAUCCUGCGACCUCUGGCAGAAGACGGCGCUUCUGAAAGUCAGGUCUUUAAACGUGCACAGUAGCUCUCUGUAAAGAUGGCAGGGGGACCCGCUAGGGCUUUAUGACGGAAGGGUCUUGUUCCCUAACAUUGGUCUUUUCUGCUGUGUUUUGCGGUUGGCCCGGGGCUAACUGGCUCGGGCACCUGGACCCAGGGAUUGUCUACCCUUCUCUUGGAACAUUCUUCUCCUGAUUAUUUCAAAGCCUCAGAGUAGCCUGACCAGUGUCACAAGGUUUCUACUGUUUAAAUUGCUUAUUCCAGGUGUGUGAGACGCUUUGACGAUGGCCACUGACGUGGAGGUUAUGAUUGCCAUUGGCUGCGGCUUACUGCUUAUCGCAUGGUUGCUGAUUUGCUGCGUCCUCUGUCUUUGCUGCAAAGUGUUCAGGACACUGAAGGACAUAUGACAAUCGAUGGCAUCGACACAAAAGGCAGGUGACUUGGUUUGGAAGAAGGCCAACCCGAGACUCUGCUGUCUCCAGCUCCCUGCGGUCAGGCUCCCAGCGACAGAACCUCAGAGAGCAGUGCUCUGGCAACUGUCUAUAGAGAGGUGGCCUGCCCCCCUAUCUCCAGGCCACAGGCUUGUUGUGUGAAAUACAGACUCUUUAUGUGGAACUCAGCUGCCUCCUGACUUUGUUCUCUCCGGAUGUUUGCAGGCCCCUCCAGGGCAAACGCUGUGCUGUCUCUGAUCCCCAGGUACUCAGAACUCAUUUGGUGUCGGGGCCAUGACCCCAACAUCGCCUUUGCCAUUCCGGCAACGCUUUCCGC
Long non-coding RNA from Mustela erminea (ermine), 841 nucleotides. RefSeq lists it as uncharacterized. The transcript has 3 exons. Lineage: Eukaryota; Metazoa; Chordata; Mammalia; Carnivora; Mustelidae. The record is from RefSeq and is a predicted model, not a curated record.